GAGGAGGGUAUCCGCGCACGGGGAGGCCCAGUGUGGAGUAUAGGGCCGGAGUACUGUAGGGUAGCAGGACCUUGAACGCCAGAGCCCGAGCAGGGUAACAGUGAAACAUAAGGAUAUCUCUGAGGAACACAGCAUUCAUUUACAUUUGAGAUAAACUGCUUCACUUAUGCACAUUGUGUAUGGCAUGCAUGAAGAUAAAAAUGUAAGUUUCUCCCAUAGGAGUUGAAAUUGCAAGCCUUGUAU
This 243-nucleotide long non-coding RNA is filed under the name Callithrix jacchus (white-tufted-ear marmoset). Its description in RNAcentral is "lncRNA (ENSCJAG00000059172.2)". The record is from RNAcentral. Lineage: Eukaryota; Metazoa; Chordata; Mammalia; Primates; Cebidae.